Molecule: ribosomal RNA, 1194 nt
Filed under: Triticum aestivum (bread wheat)
Lineage: Eukaryota; Viridiplantae; Streptophyta; Magnoliopsida; Poales; Poaceae
Description: partial small subunit ribosomal RNA
Source: RNAcentral
AUGCAUACUCGUUGGGUUCCACCAUAUUAUCAACGUGAAUUACUUCAAAAAUUGCAGCGUUUAAGACAAGAAAAAAAUUCUGUAGAGGAAUAUUAUCAGGAAUUACAAACUGGCAUGAUUAGAUGUGGUAUUGUUGAGGAUAAUGAAGCUAUGCUUGCACGUUUUAUGGGUGGAUUAAAUAGAGAGAUUUGGACCAUUCUAGAGUAUAAGGAGUAUAAUAAUAUCACUCGUUUAUUCCAUCUUGCUUGUAAAGCUGAACGUGAAGUGCGGGGUCAACAGGCAUUGACACGAACUAACUAUUCUGCAGGUCGACCUUCCUCAUGGACACCACGUGCAUCCUCUACUUCCACACAUUCUACUGCAUCGGCACCUCCAUCAGCUGCCACCUCCAGCCGUGAUACAAGAAAGCAGGCACAACCACCCCUAUCUACCAAGAGCACACCUGUCGGGCAUGUACAGAGCUCUUCCUCUUCCAUGGCAUCAAUGGGGCACACAAGUGAUAUUAUUUGUCGUCGUUGUAAGGGAAAAGGUCAUUAUGCGAGGGAAUGCAAAUCUCAGCAUGUGAUGCUUGCUACUAAGGAUGGUGGGUAUGAGUCCGCUAGUGACUAUGAUGAGGAGACUUUGGCUCUUAUUACACGUGAAGAACACGGUGGAGAUGAUUCUGAUCAUGAGGCGCAAUACAUGGCUCCUGAAGACGCUGACAAGUAUGAAUGUUUAGUUGCUCAACGUGUUUUGAGUGUGCAGGUCACACAAGCUGAGCAAAAUCAGAGGCAUAAUUUGUUCCAUACAAAGGGAGUUGUGAGCGAACGUUCUGUUCGCGUCAUAGAUGGAGGGAGCUACAGUAACUUGGCUAGCAUGGAGAUGGUGGAGAAGCUAUCUCUCACCACAAGACCACAUUCACAUCCUUACUACAUCCAAUGGUUCAACAACAGCGGCAAGGUUAAGGUAACACGUAUUGUUCGUGUGCAUUUUAGUAUCUCUACAUAUGUUGAUUAUGUUGAUUGUGAUGUGGUACCUAUGCAAGCAUGUUCCUUAUUACUUAGUAGACCAUGGCAAUUGGAUAAAAAUUCUGUACACCAUGGUAGAAACAAUCAGUAUACUCUUGUUCAUAAGGAUAAAAAUAUUACUUUGCUUCAUAUGACUCUUGAUUCCAUUUUGAAAGAUGAUAUUAAUAGAGCUAAUAAAGCAAAAUAG